UCAGAUUGAACGCUGGCGGCAUGCCUUACACAUGCAAGUCGAACGGCAGCACGGGGGCAACCCUGGUGGCGAGUGGCGAACGGGUGAGUAAUACAUCGGAACGUGUCCUGUAGUGGGGGAUAGCCCGGCGAAAGCCGGAUUAAUACCGCAUACGCUCUGCGGAGGAAAGCGGGGGAUCUUCGGACCUCGCGCUACAGGGGCGGCCGAUGGCAGAUUAGCUGGUUGGUGGGGUAAAGGCCUACCAAGGCGACGAUCUGUAGCUGGUCUGAGAGGACGACCAGCCACACUGGGACUGAGACACGGCCCAGACUCCUACGGGAGGCAGCAGUGGGGAAUUUUGGACAAUGGGCGCAAGCCUGAUCCAGCAAUGCCGCGUGUGUGAAGAAGGCCUUCGGGUUGUAAAGC
RNAcentral lists this ribosomal RNA (405 nucleotides) under Burkholderia sp. DJ-E8. RNAcentral describes it as "bacterial SSU rRNA". It matches the Rfam family "Bacterial small subunit ribosomal RNA", at positions 24 to 431 of the family's 1533-position model. The record is from RNAcentral. Lineage: Bacteria; Pseudomonadati; Pseudomonadota; Betaproteobacteria; Burkholderiales; Burkholderiaceae.